RNAcentral lists this ribosomal RNA (253 nucleotides) under uncultured bacterium. RNAcentral describes it as "partial 16S ribosomal RNA". It matches the Rfam family "Bacterial small subunit ribosomal RNA", at positions 524 to 776 of the family's 1533-position model. The record is from RNAcentral.
UACGUAGGUGGCAAGCGUUGUCCGGAUUUAUUGGGCGUAAAGGGUUCGUAGGCGGGAGAUCAAGUCAAGUGUGAAAUAUCCGGGCUUAACCUGGAAAGUGCAUUUGAAACUGGUUUUCUUGAGUGUUGAAGAGGGUGGUGGAAUUGCUGGUGUAGGAGUGACAUCCGUAGAGAUCAGCAGGAACAUCGGAGGCGAAGGCGGCCACCUGGUCAAUCACUGACGCUGAGGAACGAAAGCAUGGGGAGCAAACAGG